Erinaceus europaeus (western European hedgehog) is the source of this 101-nucleotide small nuclear RNA. Its record names the gene U5. It matches the Rfam family "U5 spliceosomal RNA". From Rfam's summary of the family: U5 RNA is a component of both types of known spliceosome. NCBI's taxonomy places the organism in Eukaryota, Metazoa, Chordata, Mammalia, Eulipotyphla, Erinaceidae. The record is from Ensembl.
AUACUCUGGUUUCUCUUGGGAUUGUACAAAUAAAGAUUUACGUGGAGAGGAACAAUUCUGAGUUUAUACCUAAUUUUUGGAGGCCUUGUUCUUACAAGGCU